UUUCAUAAGGAGGAAGGAAAUGUUCAUUGCGGAUGCAUAACACCUAAGCUGGGGCUCUGAAAUUCUCAAAGAGCUUUAGAGAAAAGCCAGAAAUCCUUUUGACUGGUUCUUCCAUGCUUUUGCUGAACCUCCAGCCCUCUUGGGAGUAAAGCUGACAUGAAAUUGUCACUGUGAUGCUUUCAGAGACUUAUCACAACACUUGGAAGUGUGUAGCACAUGAGCAAUGCAGCUCAGAAUGAUGAAAAAGCAGCCAGGAGCAGCCUGUCACCCACAGAAUAAUUUAUCUAGCCUCAAGUCUUCUGCCAGAAGGCCAUCUCAAAAAAAAUGGCAUUCAAGAGCAGAUGG
Molecule: non-coding RNA, 345 nt
Organism: Cyanistes caeruleus (blue tit)
Lineage: Eukaryota; Metazoa; Chordata; Aves; Passeriformes; Paridae
Source: RefSeq, a predicted model, not a curated record